Molecule: long non-coding RNA, 881 nt
Organism: Drosophila miranda
Lineage: Eukaryota; Metazoa; Arthropoda; Insecta; Diptera; Drosophilidae
Exons: 3
Source: RefSeq, a predicted model, not a curated record
UUAAUUAGUUAUACCCAAGAAGCAGGAAGUGAAAUACAUUUUUACUUAAGCUCAAUGGCUUAUGUGACUUUAGUUUUACGAAAUCUGUGUAAUUAAGUUUUAUUUUCUAUACUAAAAUACAUUUUACAUCAAUAAAAUUGUUGUAUGGUGCUUUUAAUUAUGACUUAGAGAUUGCUGGUUAACGGACACGCUUAACAGUAAAGUGGAAGGGGAGUAGCAGGUCGCUAUAUUCACACUCCUUGAGUUUUGUAAAGGUUGCUCGCGGAAAUACACAAGACUCGUAGCGAUCCAUCAGUGAAUCAGUAACCGGCAGGAAUGCAGUCGAAUUUCUUAAUUUCCAAAGCCUGGGGGAUUAAUUCGAGCUUCUGUUCCUACUAUUGCCAAUGCUGAGGAUAGCAGGAUUCUAAGGAAGAGUUUCAUGUUUUUCUUUGCACAAAAGAUGCAUCUAAGAAUCAUAAAACCAUAUGAAUAGGUUUUACUUACCGGGAACCAAACGUGCAUCGGUAGCUACAAGAGAUAAAGCUAAGGAUAGCAGGAUUCCCAGGAGGACCUUCAUAUUUUCGUUAGUGAUCGGUAUUAAGAUUGCAACUGGAACUAUGUUUGUCCAGUUAUAUCCAAUAAGCAGGAAGUGAAAUAUAUUUUUACUUAAGCGUUAUGGCUUAUGUGACUUUAGUUUUAAGAAAUCUUUCUGAUUCGGAAUUAAUUUCUAUAUUAAAAUCAUUUUGAUUUAAAUAUUGGGUUGAAUAUUAGAUUUUUAUUUUACAGAUUCAUCUUAGAAUCAUAAAACCAUAGGAAUAGAAUCCUACGAAUCCCUUCCUUCAUUUUCGGGAACCAAACGAGCAUCGGUAGCUACAAGGGAUAAAGCUAAAGAUAGCAGGACA